Molecule: ribosomal RNA, 256 nt
Filed under: uncultured Planctomycetota bacterium
Lineage: Bacteria; Pseudomonadati; Planctomycetota
Description: uncultured planctomycete partial 16S ribosomal RNA
Rfam family: Bacterial small subunit ribosomal RNA
Source: RNAcentral
AAUGAACGUUGGCGGCGUGGAUUAGGCAUGCAAGUCGUGCGGGCCCGCAAGGGUCAGCGGCGAAAGGGAGAGUAAUACGUAGGUUACCUACCCUCUGGACCGGGACAGCCACGGGAAACUGUGGGUAAUACCGGAUAAAGUCUCCGGACCAAAGGUGUGAUUCCGCCGGAGGAGGGGCCUGCGUCCUAUUAGCUAGUUGGAGAGGUAACGGCUCACCAAGGCAAAGAUGGGUACGGGGUGUGAGAGCAUGCCCCCG